AGGACGAACGCUGGCGGCGUGCUUAACACAUGCAAGUCACGGGGGCCCCGGGGGUAACUCUGGGGUAACCGGCGAACGGGUGCGUAACACGUGAACAACCUGCCCUCGUGUGGGGGAUAGCCAUGCUAACGCGUGGGUAAUACCGCAUACGUUCUCUUUGGGGAGUCCCGAGGAGAGGAAAGCUCCGGCGCACGGGGAGGGGUUCGCGGCCUAUCAGCUAGUUGGCGAGGUAACGGCUCACCAAGGCGACGACGGGUAGCUGGUCUGAGAGGAUGGCCAGCCACAUUGGGACCGAGAGACGGCCCAGACUCCUACGGGAGGCAGCAGUGGGGAAUCGUUGCGCAAUGGUCUAACGACUGACACAGCGACGCCGCGUGUCGGGAGGACGCCGUUUCGGGGU
Molecule: ribosomal RNA, 400 nt
Filed under: uncultured soil bacterium
Lineage: Bacteria
Description: bacterial SSU rRNA
Rfam family: Bacterial small subunit ribosomal RNA
Source: RNAcentral